This 253-nucleotide ribosomal RNA is filed under the name uncultured bacterium. RNAcentral describes it as "partial 16S ribosomal RNA". It matches the Rfam family "Bacterial small subunit ribosomal RNA", at positions 524 to 776 of the family's 1533-position model. The record is from RNAcentral.
UACGUAGGGCGCGAGCGUUGUCCGGAAUUAUUGGGCGUAAAGAGCUCGUAGGCGGCCGGUUGCGUCUGCUGUGAAAUCCCGGGGCUUAACCCCGGGCGUGCAGUGGAUACGGGCCGGCUGGAGGCAGGCAGGGGAGAAUGGAAUUCCCGGUGUAGCGGUGAAAUGCGCAGAUAUCAGGAGGAACACCGGUGGCGAAGGCGGAUCUCUGGGCCAUUACUGACGCUGAGGAGCGAAAGCGUGGGGAGCGAACAGG